RNAcentral lists this ribosomal RNA (494 nucleotides) under uncultured bacterium. RNAcentral describes it as "partial 16S ribosomal RNA". It matches the Rfam family "Bacterial small subunit ribosomal RNA", at positions 28 to 507 of the family's 1533-position model. The record is from RNAcentral.
GACGAACGCUGGCGGCGUGCUUAACACAUGCCAGUCGAACGGUGAAGCGCCUUCCUUUUUGGUGGGUGUGGAUGAGUGGCGAACGGGUGAGUAUCACGUGAGUAACCUGCCACCUUCUUCUGGAUAACCGCAUGAAAGUGUGGCUAAUACGGGAUCUUCUGGGUCUGUCGCAUGAUGGGUCUGGGAUAGAUAUUGUUUCGGCGGGGGAUGGGCUCGCGGCCUAUCAGCUUGUUGGUGGGGUGAUGCACUAUCAGGCCGGUGCCGGGUCGCCGGCCUGAGGGGGUGGACGGACACACGGGGACUGAGACACGGCCCAGACUCCGACGUGAGGCAGCGGCGGGGAAUACUGCACAACGGGCGCAAGCCUGAUGCAGCGACGCCGCGUGAGGGAUAGAGUCCUUCGGGUUGUUAACCUCUUUCGCCAUUGAAGCAUGCCCGCCUCUUUUGUGGGUGGGUUGACGGUAGCUGGAUAAGAAGCGCCUACUAACUACGUG